This 255-nucleotide ribosomal RNA is filed under the name uncultured bacterium. RNAcentral describes it as "partial 16S ribosomal RNA". It matches the Rfam family "Bacterial small subunit ribosomal RNA", at positions 524 to 776 of the family's 1533-position model. The record is from RNAcentral.
UACGUAGGGUGCAAGCGUUGUCCGGAAUUAUUGGGCGUAAAGAGCUCGUAGGCGGUCUGUCGCGUCGGCUGUGAAAACUCGGGGCUCAACCCCGAGCCUGCAGUCGAUACGGGCAGACUAGAGUGCUGUAGGGGAGACUGGAAUUCCUGGUGUAGCGGUGAAAUGCGCAGAUAGUCAGGAGGAACACCGGUGGCGAAGGCGGGUCUCUGGGCAGUAACUGACGCUGGAGGAGCGAAAGCGUGGGGAGCGAACAGG